Long non-coding RNA from Balaenoptera acutorostrata (minke whale), 1179 nucleotides. RefSeq lists it as uncharacterized. The transcript is spliced from 7 exons. The record is from RefSeq and is a predicted model, not a curated record. Lineage: Eukaryota; Metazoa; Chordata; Mammalia; Artiodactyla; Balaenopteridae.
AGAAAUGAUGAACGUUAGAUUUUUUACAUUUAGUAAAAUGCUACAAAUGUAGUUUUUAGAAUACUUAGCAUUUUAAAAGGGCAUAUCUGCAUGGUACUUUGUAAACAUUAACUAAUUAAUCUUCUUAAUGUAAGAUGCUAUACUUGAUUUCAGCCCAAAGAAUUGUUAUAUAUUAAUGUUCCAUUCGUAUCCUGCCUAAAACGUGAAACAUUUAGCGACUGUCACAAGUUCUGCAGCUUCACUCUCAUUUUGAUCUUUUCAUAUGGAAAUUGCCAUUGAGACAGAGCUGUCCACCAUCAACAACCCUCAAUAUUUAUGAAGAAUCUCAGCUGUUCAUACUUCAGUAUAAAUGAAGGCAUCUUUGUUACGACCUGCCUGGUGUUUUAGAAUCUUCUUAUCUUCUCCACUGACCCUGACAUGGGGCAAACAGGAGGGAAUUUAAAAAGUCCUAGCUAACUUGGAUGAGCACUUUGUCAGUGGAUAACGUCUCUAUCUAGGUCUCAGCACUCCUGGUAUAUUCUGCUCCUCUUUGGACAUAUCAACAGAAAGAAACCUAGAGGUUUACUUGAUCAAGAACCUCAAUGAGUGAUGAUAACAUUUCCUGUUCUUCCAGACGCUUCUAAUUCUUCCUGUUGCCGCCUAUCUUCAACAGAAAAGCAACUGAUCAUGGAAGCAAGCAGGAGGAAUUAAGUUGAUGGAUCAAAGAAGACAUAAUAAUGGUAUUUAGAAAGUAAUGAAAACUAAAUUAUAACAACAACAACAACAACAACAAAAAGUACAAGUAUACCUCAGAGAUAUUGCUGGUUCAGUUCCAGACAAGCACAAUAAAGCAAAUAUCGCAAUAAACAUCUUCACCAGGAGUAGAUUCCAUCUCAAGAAACCACUUUCUUUGCUCAUCCCUAAGAAGCAGCUCCUCAUCUGUUCAAGUUUUGUCAUGAGAUUGCAGCACUUCAGUCACAUCUUCAGGCUCCAUUUCUAGCUCUCUUGCUAUUUCUACCACAUCUGCAGAAAUUCUACCUCUAUGAAUUUCCCGAAGGAAAAAGACACAAGUCCAAAAGGAACUUUGACUUAAUUUUCCACAAGAACAGACUUGAUUUCUCUUAUCUUUGCAAUGUGGAACUUCAGAGAUGAUUGUUGAAGGAGGAAGAGAAUAAUGAUAAAUACAGGUGGGUAUUAAAU